Molecule: ribosomal RNA, 450 nt
Filed under: uncultured bacterium
Lineage: Bacteria
Description: bacterial SSU rRNA
Rfam family: Bacterial small subunit ribosomal RNA
Source: RNAcentral
GUGGGGAAUAUUGGGCAAUGGGCGAAAGCCUGACCCAGCCACGCCGCGUGAGUGAUGAAGGCCUUCGGGUUGUAAAGCUCUGUGGGGAGGGAAGAAAAAGCGCAGGAGUAACUGCCUGUGUGUUGACGGUACCUCCUUAGCAAGCACCGGCUAACUCUGUGCCAGCAGCCGCGGUAAUACAGAGGGUGCAAACGUUGCUCGGAAUUACUGGGCGUAAAGCGCGUAUAGGCUGACAUGCAAGUCGGGUGUGAAAUCCCAGGGCUCAACCUUGGAACUGCACUCGAAACUGCACGUCUUGAGUACUGGAGAGGGGAGCGGAAUUCCGGGUGUAGAGGUGAAAUUCGUAGAUAUCCGGAGGAACACCAGUGGCGAAGGCGGCUUCCUGGACAGUAACUGACGCUGAGACGCGAAAGCGUGGGGAGCAAACAGGAUUAGAAACCCGUGUAGUCC